This 252-nucleotide ribosomal RNA is filed under the name uncultured bacterium. RNAcentral describes it as "partial 16S ribosomal RNA". It matches the Rfam family "Bacterial small subunit ribosomal RNA", at positions 524 to 776 of the family's 1533-position model. The record is from RNAcentral.
CACGUAGGGGGCGAGCGUUAUCCGGAUUCAUUGGGCGUAAAGCGCGCGCAGGCGGCCGCUCAAGCGGGACCUCUAAUCCCGGGGCUCAACCCCGGGCCGGGUCCCGAACUGGGCGGCUCGCGUCAGGUAGGGGCAGGCGGAAUUCCCGGUGUAGCGGUGGAAUGCGCAGAUAUCGGGAGGAACACCGACGGCGAAGGCAGCCUGCUGGGCCUCGACGGACGCUGAGGCGCGAAAGCCGGGGGAGCGAACAGG